Molecule: long non-coding RNA, 542 nt
Filed under: Bos taurus (domestic cattle)
Lineage: Eukaryota; Metazoa; Chordata; Mammalia; Artiodactyla; Bovidae
Description: long non-coding RNA NONBTAT019296
Source: RNAcentral
AGGACUCGAAGGUAUUUCACCUUCGUACUAGAGUUUGAAUUCACCCUACUCUUCAUUCUAGAGUAUCUGCAAAGAUUACAAAAGAUAGAUUAGAAUGUCAUUGUCCCUCAAAUAAGCAAAUUUCUACAUAUUUAAAUCAGCAUUAAAGGUGGUAUGCACUAAUAACCUUGAUCAGUAUUUCCUGUGUUAAGCAAUGUGUAAAUCAUUUCUGAGCAAACAGGUUAUCAGGAAAAUGAGAAUUUUGCCUUAGACCAAGGCUUUCAAUAAGGAAAGGCAUAAAAACAAUUCCAUCUCAUCUGUCUGUCUCACUAAAAGAGGAAGACAAAAAUAAUAUUGUCACCCUAAAACUGUGAUUGUCAAUAAAUGUACUCAGGGGUCUCCCAAAUAAUCCUCAAGUUGAUUUAUUUGAGUAAAAUGAGCUCCCAUUUGUCCAAAAUGGUUGAGAAAGAAUCUAUUACCAUUACGUGAAGAAUCUUGCUAAGUCUUAUACCCUUGAAAUUGUUGAGUGGAAUAAACUGUUACUACUAAUGACAUAAUACUAU